UACACUAUUUGUGUAGGAAAAAAUAGUAAAACCUAAAUAACUACUAAAAAUCAUCUGUUUUAAAAAUGACAAAAAAUUAUAUUCAUUUUGAGAUUUUAAAGAUUAGAUUUAAAAGGAUUAAAAAAAAAAAAAAACAAACAAAAAAAAAAAACUAUAGGACAAUAACCAACAUGGUAGUGAUAUACUGUUAUCGCUAUUAUAAACAUAAUUAGGAAAAGAAAGAAAAUUUACUUAUUUUGCAUAAAAAAUUUAUCAAGUCACAGUAAAAACAGUAAAUAAUAAAGUCACAAAAGAUUUGUAUUUCAAUUUAAACUUUCUAUUCUUAAAUAAAAUCUUUACAAAAUGUUCCAUAGUUUCCACAAAAAUAUUAGGGGGGGGGGGGGGGGGUACAAUGGUGUUUCGUGUAUUCAGAGUUGUUCACAGUGUUAAAGAGAUGGAUUAUCAUGCUAAACAUGGCCAAAGUUAUAAAAAGUAAUUUAGAAGAAUGACUGAGAAUUUCUGUGUCGAAAAUCUUACUUCCAUGUUGGUACAAGUUUUGGCUGUUUUUUUUCGAUCGUGGAUCUAAUGACGUAGACGAAAACGCAACUCCUUAUGUGAGCAUUUCUUUCAGAAAAGCGUGUCUGCGCACACACAUUGACCAGAGGAGAGCGAGACCGCGCACAUCAACGCGCUUCAAAAUCGUCGGCAGCGCUGCACAGGAUUUGUUUGAGAAUGCCUCCAAAUAAGUACAUUUUUGGAUGUGAGGGAAAGUUUACCGUGUUCAGCUUCCCCAAGAACCCAGCGUUACAUGAACAGUCGAUGCAUAUCAAGUGCAGUGGGGGCAGUGUAUCAAGUGCAUUUGUGUGUUCUGGUCAUUUGAGUGACGAAUGUUUUAUAAACAAGACCCAAGUCGAUGCUGGAUUUGCACAUCGUUUGCUAUUAAAACAUGGAACUGUCCCUGUGAUAAAAGACCCCAUACGUAGUGUGAAAGGGAGUGAUGAAAGUCGUACUCACAGCUCCAGGCCCAGGACAUUCCACUGCACCCCUCCCACUACAUGACUUCAUCAACGCUCCAUAGCUGGAAGAUCAGACAUCCACCAACCUGCCAGCCAGACCUCAAGAUUUCAAAAUUAAAGAGCCUUGCUUUUACUCUUAAACACACACACACACACACAUACAUGCUGUGAUCUGCCGGUCAGGUGCACAAACCUGAUACUCAAAUCUACAGAAAAAACA
Molecule: long non-coding RNA, 1215 nt
Filed under: Carassius auratus (goldfish)
Lineage: Eukaryota; Metazoa; Chordata; Actinopteri; Cypriniformes; Cyprinidae
Description: lncRNA (ENSCARG00000014635.1)
Source: RNAcentral